RNAcentral lists this long non-coding RNA (978 nucleotides) under Panax ginseng (ginseng). RNAcentral's name for it is "long non-coding RNA (PGIN_LNC017059)". Lineage: Eukaryota; Viridiplantae; Streptophyta; Magnoliopsida; Apiales; Araliaceae. The record is from RNAcentral.
GGAUUCUGAAACCCCAUUUUAGAGAGAGAAACAAAUCGAACUAGAGAGAGAAAGUAAUUGCAUAACUGGUUGGAAUCGAUUAUCUUCAGCAGAGAAGAUUUUCCAUGAAAUUUUGUCCACUUUUAAGCGGACAAGGUAAAUUAAUCAUCAUUCAAUAAAUUCCAUCAAUUGCCUUCCUCCCUAUUUCAUAUACAUGAUAAUUCAUGUUUUUUCGCCAUUAAUGGCAUAAAUUAAGCUUUAACUCGUUGCUUUCCACUUUGAAUGGGUAACCGUAAAGCUAUAUAACGAAAAGUACUUAUUUUUCCGACUUUUUGCUUUGAUUUUUUUUUUAAAAUUUGUUUUUGGAAACGUUUUUUUUGCUUUUUGAUUUUAGGAAUUGAAGUUAGGGUUUCUAUGUUGGCGGAUCAAUUACUGAAGGACAUUUAAUUUUAUGAUUUUCGGAGUUAUUAGGGUUAGGAUCAGGAUCCAGAUUGAAGAUUAAAAGAGUUUUGGGGUUCUGUAGGGGCUCAUUGAACUGUACUUAAAAUUGUCACUUGUAUAUGGGCGAUCUUUUGAAGUACCAAUUGGGUAUUUGGGCAUGGAAGGAGAUUGCAAAUACAAGAUUGUGUAGACAGUGAUCAGGUACCUGGAAAUUUUCUGGUUUUUCAGGAUAUAUGAGUUCUGGGUUUUUGUUUUUAUCAAAUUUUUAAGGCUCAGUCUUAUUAGGGGAUGAUUUUGGCAGUUGGGUUUGGUCAUAAAGUUGAGGUGAUGUGUCUUUGCUGGCAUAGCAGGAAAGGAAGAAGAAGACCAGAUUUUAGUGAGCUGUUUUAUUUUCUCAAAAAGCCAUUUGGGUUAACAUAGUUUACAGGAACUACCUCUAAAGUUUGUAUUUUGUGACUGUGAUACUACAGUAACUUGGAUUAAUUUAUUAGGGAGCUGUGAUUUUGAAUUGAGUUUCUAUACGAGUGUGCUCAUUUCUUGUUUGCAUUUGGGGUGAAG